CCAGGCUAGGGGUCAAAUGGGAACUAUAGCUGCCAGCCUAUGCCACAGUCAUAGCAACACAGGAUCCAAGUUUCAUCUGUGACCUAGGCUGCAGCUCGUGGCAACAGUGGAUCCUCCCUCCUCCUGAGGGAGGCCAGGGAUCAAACUCGAAACCUCAUAAUAGUAUGUCGGGUUCUUAACCCACUGAGCCACAACAGGAACUCCAAUGUUUGACUUCUUCAGGUAACUCAUAUAAGUGGACUCAUAAAAUAUUCGUCCUUUUGUGUCUGGUUUAUCUCACACAGCUCAAUGUCCUCAAGAUUCAUUGGUGUUGUAGCAGGUGUCAGAAUUUCCUUCCUUUUGUUUUUUUAUUGACCUUUCCUUGAGGCAUGCAGCAGUUCCGGGGCCAGGGAUUGAAAUCACGCUACAGCUGUGACCUGAGCCACAGCAGUGCCAAAGCCAGGUCCUUAACCUGCUGAGCCACCAAGGAACUCCUCCUCCUUCCUUUUUAAGGCUGAAUAACAUUCCAUUGUCUGAAUACCGCAUUUGGUUCGUCCAGUCAACUGUCAGUGGGCUCUUGGGUGCUUUCUACCUUUUGCCAUUGUGAACAACGCUGCUGUGAACAUGGGUGAACCAAUAUAGAUGCUGAUGGGAGUUCUUGUUGUGGCUCAGGGGGUUAUAAACCCGACUAGUAUCCAUGAGGAUGCAGAUGAGAACCCUGGCCUUGCUCAGUGGGUUAAGGAUCUGGUAUUGCUGCGAGCUGUAGUGUAAGCUGCAGAUGAAGCUGAGCUCUGGUGUGGCUGUGGCUGGGGUGUGGGCCGGCAGCUGCAGCUCCGAUUCGACCCCUAGCCUGGGAACUUCCAUAUGCUGCACCUGCAGCCCUAAAAAAACCCAAACCAAAAAACCAACCUUCCCCCCCCAAAACCCAAAUAUAGAUGCUAACUUUUGAAGGCUCUGUCAUGGCGGGUGGUAGAGGGCACACCACAAACUCCUCCUACCGGUUCCUUGCUGGAGACACGAGAACUAGCGGAACCACCGCUUGACCAAGACCUUGCCAUCUGGUCCACCCAUGAGAAACUCAGAGAGGACCAGCCACAUGGCUGAAACCGCACAGCCAGGAAGCGGAGGAGUCAAGUUUCAAACCCAGAGCUGUCACAGGAAAUGCUGCUUUCCAGCUACCUGGCCUCUCUUGUCCAACCCUCUGAGCAAUGCUGGUGUCUGCUCCGUGACGGGCCUGCCAGUGGCCCAAUGUUAGCCUGGCAAGAGCUGCUUCUCCGUGCUGGGCAAGCUGGCCGUGGGAGCCUGAAACCCAUUUUAUUCAUGACAAAUGAAAAGCAGAUGAGAUUUUAAAUGUUCUGCUUCGGUUGCCAGAGCUGGGUGGAGCAGGGCCCCUGUGAGCAGUCACACCAAAUAAAACAUAUUAUUUAAGAGCGACUGGAAGGCAGACAAGCUGAGAACACCGCGCAUAGCGGGACUACCGCGAUCCGCUCAUAAGCAUCAAAACCGCUCUCCCCAGGCUCGCACAUGGAUUCACAUGUAGGGCAAUUUCCCUCAUGGUAGCGCAAUUCCACGACUGGGCUUGGGCUCCUGGACAAGCGACUUCCCAGCCAAAUGACUUCCAGCCCCAACACAGAGCACAGGGCGCAGCGGGGCUGAGCGUCCCUGGGCCUGCCCUGCACUGCCUGGGGAGCCAUCAUCUGCACUCACGACCCACCCUUUCAGGUCCUGUUGGGAUGAGGAGGGAGGGCAGCGCCUUGGCCCUUACGCUGUGCGCCAUAACCAGCAGGCUGGGCCUGGAAGCAGCCAAGCUGGAGACUGAGGCUCCGAGAGGUAAGAGGCAUGCCUGAAGACACACAGCUCACCCAAGGAACUCCUAAAUGGUAGGAAGGCAGGACUGGUUAGCAGGUGUGGUCCUGGGUGAUACUGGCACCCCUCGAACAGAUAUUUAGAGGGAAGAGGCAGUGUAGCAGUGCCACGUUACAAUGUCAGACUCAGGGGGUUCUCAGGCCCUCUGAAGCCAAAUUUUUUUUUUUUUUUUUUGUCUUUUUGCUAUUUCUUGGGCCGCUCCUGCGGCCUAUGGAGAUUCCCAGGCUAGGGGUCCAAUCAGAGCUGCAGCCACCGGCCUACGCCAGAGCCAUAGCAACGCGGGAUCCGAGCCGCUUCUGCAACCUACACCACAGCUCACGGCAACGCUGGAUGGUUAACCCGCUGAGCAAGGGCAGGGACUGAACCCGCGACCUCAUGGUUCCUAGUCGGAUUCGUUAACCACUGCGCCACGACGGGAACUCCUGAAGCCAAAUUUUAGGAAGGGGCAGGACUGAGUCUGGUGGGGUGUUCUUGGGUGGCUCUGGGGUGAGAGUGCUGAAUCCUAACCACUAGACCACAAGGGUCAGCAGGCUUGAUGUACGUCCCAGUCCUUGUCUCCUGGAGAAAAAAUUCAGCAAAGAGACUGAGAGUGGUGAGGCGUGUAAAGUGUUUAUCGAGAGAGAAGCUAGGUGUGGAGAAAUACGAGCAGGCUCAGAGACAGACGGACAGACAGUCAGACUCACCGACAGAGAGAGCCAUGCCCUUUGGGGUGGUUUGAAUCACUUACAUGGGGGCAGUUCUUCCACGUUUCUUCCGGCCAAUCAUCUUGCUUUGUCUGGUCUUGAGUCCACAUUUGGCCUGACUCAGGGCCUUGCCCUGUGUGUGCGCAUGCAUCUUUUACCCAAGAUGGAGUCUAGCGCAAGCGUUUCUGGAAGGUUGACAGGAUAUAUUAGGAUGUGUUAUGAGUCAGGCACCCCCCCCCCCCCCCCCCCGCCUUCUCUGACCCUGAGGAAUCUCUGUGCCUGUGUAGUUUGGGAGGUCUCCUUGAGGUCAAAAAUGAGAAAUAUGUUUAUCGUUUAUAUAAGCAGGACUCAGCUCCUCCUUGCUCCUGUCAUAACCUUUAUCUUGAAGUAUCUGUCCACAAGAGACAAUGAUAGGGAGCCCAGCUCUUGGAGACUGGAAGCCUUGGAAAGGCACAGACCCCAACACCAGGCACAGGUACAUGAGGCAUCUGACGUGUAUUUAUGAUCACCUGGCUUGUGCCCUUGGAGCUCACACUCCAGCAGGAGGGAGCUGUGGAACAAUAGCAGUAACCCUUAACCAGAGCUUCAUCAUCACCAAGCACUGUGGAGUUCCCUGGUGGCUCAGUGGGUUAAGGAUCCAGUAUUGGCUGCUGUGGCUCAGGUAACUGCUGUGGCACAGGUUUGAUACCUGGCCUGG
Molecule: long non-coding RNA, 3225 nt
Filed under: Sus scrofa (pig)
Lineage: Eukaryota; Metazoa; Chordata; Mammalia; Artiodactyla; Suidae
Description: lncRNA (ENSSSCG00060026124.1)
Source: RNAcentral